CAGGACCAUUACACUGGGGACCGGCUUCUCUGCUCUCCCGUUAUGGGGGUCGGGGGAAUGAUGGGUCAAGAGUCUUCCGAAGAAAGCGAGAAAGGAACAGGCGCCUUCAAAAGCCCACUUGGCGAUGGGUUACAGUAAGAGGUACCUCCAGGCCCGGGCAUCCGCUGGAAACAGGGGUGGGUAGGGUCGUGUCCUCUAAAGGCGCAGCCUCAACCAGAAGACUAGAAGUCAGCCAGGAGCUGGGAGUAGUGUCACGCGGGGUGGGGGUUCCUAUGAGCAUCACUUUACAAAACCGGGAGGGACGGAAGUGCGAGGGGGCAGAGUCUUGGAAACAGGUCCUGGGCCAAAUGCAACAGAAUAUACCCGCCGCGUGUAGGGGAAGGCGGCGCCAGGGAGAGGGCGCGGUCUCUGAAUCUUUCCACGGGGUCCAUCCCAGGGCCCCUCCAGGUUCAACGGUCUCCGAACCUGUAGUCACCCACAAGAGCGUGCCCUUUCUGCCCGCCCUUCCUAGCGUUGCUCCCUGCUUGGCUGAGCACUGCAGAGUUUCACGCCUCUAAACCCCGCCUCUUCUUGCAACCUGUGUUGGCCUCAUCUACCCAGCAACUGCGACGUCACACGACCUGGGCCUCCCUGAAUGGGAGAUAUUUACUAGGCAAUCCCGCCUACUGUUCUGAGGUUUCCCCUCCAGAUGCCGCUUCAGAGCCAGGCGAGCCAGGAAGGACCAGCGGGCGAGGUGGAAGUCUGCAUUAUCACGAGGAGCUUGGAAAGGAGGUAACACACUCAAUGCAAAUUUCAAGUAACUCAUCCUGGAGGCAGCUGCCUACUCUGCAGCUGUGGUUCUCCACCACAGAGAGAAGAAAAGGGAGGGAGAUGGAGUGCGCAGGUCUGAGAAGGCUUUCAUUCUGGAGCAUCUGCAGGAGCCUGCACCAUGGCCCAGUAGCACCCCUUUUUCUCCAUGAGCUGCUGGUGGGUUCCCCCCUCCCGGAUAGCGCCUCCUUCCAGAAAGAGGAUGUG
Molecule: long non-coding RNA, 1014 nt
Filed under: Pan troglodytes (chimpanzee)
Lineage: Eukaryota; Metazoa; Chordata; Mammalia; Primates; Hominidae
Description: lincRNA
Source: RNAcentral